UCCCUGGUAGCUCAGACGGUAAAGCAUCUGCCUACAAUGUAGGAGACCUGGGUUCGAUCCCUGAGUAGGGAA
Molecule: transfer RNA, 72 nt
Filed under: Bos taurus (domestic cattle)
Lineage: Eukaryota; Metazoa; Chordata; Mammalia; Artiodactyla; Bovidae
Also listed under: 5 other names
Rfam family: tRNA
About the family: Transfer RNA (tRNA) molecules are approximately 80 nucleotides in length. Their secondary structure includes four short double-helical elements and three loops (D, anti-codon, and T loops).
Source: Rfam by way of RNAcentral